Carassius auratus (goldfish) is the source of this 5237-nucleotide long non-coding RNA. The record is from Ensembl. NCBI's taxonomy places the organism in Eukaryota, Metazoa, Chordata, Actinopteri, Cypriniformes, Cyprinidae.
AUGUAUCAGCUACUCUUCCAUUCCGGAUCCGUGUCCUGCUUCUUUGCGCACUGCUCUGGACACGAGGACUUUAUUCUGCAUGACUUUGAGCUCUGGCACGCGACCGGUUCGCGCAGAGUCGAGGGCCAGCUCGCUGCGGCAGUUAUCAGAGCGAUUGUCUUCCUGUCCAAGUCUCCAGCAGCGCCUUCAGGCAUCUGGCCGUGUCGUCCCCGUGACCUCACAAAUACCCUUCUACAACACCAGAUGUUUCUACACACGUCACCGUCCAAUCAGAACACGAGAUUUUCCCUCCCUGAAUCGAGUCCACCAGGUGGCAUUGGCAGAUAUUUGAGUGCUUUUACCACAUUACUGAGUACAGUGCGGUUGGCAGAAACAGAGAGAGACAGAUAUAUACUACCACCCACACAUGCAUGUAUGACCCUGUACAUCUCACAGCAGAGAGUCGGCCCCCACAUUUACGCACACACCAGCGAUUUUAACAUCCAAGGGGUCAGAGUCGCUCCCAGAAACACAUGCAUGGGCUGGCGAAGGGAGUCAAGCUGCUGUUUAUCACAUGGAUGGAGGGCCCCUCCACAAUCACAGAGAUCAAAGUGGGAAAAAAGGGUUCAUACUCACAAAAACAUGGCUAUAUGUAGGUUGGGAGAGGAGGGAAAAAAAAAUAUUGUGUGCCGUAUUUAGCACACUGCCUGUUGAUGAGGUCUUUAAAGACUCUUCUUGUACAGUGUGCUGUCAGUUGAGUUUAGAGAACACUGCUGUGUAGCUCUGCCUGGGAUUAUAACAAAUCUGUCAUGAAUUUUAGAUGCUUCUAAACGCAGGGAUUCAGCAGCCCAAGAGAUGGAAGUUGGCUGUGAAUUGUCAUUAACGGCUCCCUCCGAGGCUGCGAGUGGUGAAGUCGUACUGGCAUUGAAUGUUCUCUGGUGAGAAUACUCACUUCCCCCUGCUGAUCUGGGUCCAUAUGGAUAUCUAGAGUCUCAGAUGUCCGUUUCAGGAUCACUUCCGUUCUGGAUAAGGCAAAACUGACCCUAGAUUAGCCCUUAGAUUUAGAGAUGUGAUGAUAUUUACCCUGAAAAAAAAAAGAAAAAAGGAAAAUGCAUAAAAAAAAUUAUAUGGAUGAGUACAUUUCCAUAUUUUAUAAAAAAUGUGAGUAGUGCUGUCCAACAGAGGAUGCCUUUUUGCAGUUGCUAAGAUGAUAUAGCUGAUUUAAUUUAGUUUAACUAAUGUACUAAAAUAACUCAACUGAAAUUAAAAAAAGGAAAAUAAUAAUAAUAAAAAUGACAAAACACAACAAAAUUACUAAAACUUUAAACUAAUUUUUUUAUGAAAAGUAUAUAUAUAUAUGAAAAUAAAAACUACGUACUUUACUAAAUAAUAUUAAAAGCACUGAUUGCUAAGUCAGGACCAGGGUUAUUAUCCUUUUCUAAAACUAUUAAAACAACAAUCUCCUUUUGUUAACUGAGAUUAAGAUGAAAAAUAAAAUAAAAUUACACUUACACAGUAAGAAAUAGCACAUAACACAAAACUGCCACAAAACAAAAUAAAAACAAAAUAAAAUAUAAAAUAAAUAUGUCUAAAUAUAAAAAACCAUAAGGUUGUUUCUUUAAUGUAAAUGUUGUUGUUGUUUAUCGACAUCAAGCCACAUACUGUAAUUUGAUGUAUUGUUUGUGUCUACACAAACAUUGCAGGAUGAGUUAUGCUUAAGUAAAAUCCCUAACAGAAAGAAGGAAUAAUUGUAAUACUGGUUCUUGCCUCAGCAGCACCACUAAAAAGCAAGCAAAAAGGACUUGUUGUAAACCAGUUAAAUCAGUGAGCAGAUGCUCUAAUGGACCUAUUAACACAGAACAGGCCUGUAAGGAUUCCUGGAGUUUCUUCUCAAUAACUUUAAUUCAGUUUUUUUACUUUCCCUAUUUUUUUUCCUCUACGCAGAGGGUCGAGAAAAAAGCUUUGAGAAAAUCCUUGUGAGGGUGUCUUCAUUUAUAGAUAGAAAGCAUAGAUAUAUUUAUUGAUCUCCCAGGAGAAAAUUUUUUGGCGGAUUAGCUGAGAGUCUGGAGAUUUUUACUCUUCAGGAAUUUGGAAUUUGAAAACCACAUGCUCAUUCCAGUUACUCCUUUUAUCGCAUCAAGAGACAAAGCAACUUUUAUGUGCAUUUUUUUAGAUUAAUGCUAGAUCAAUAAUCAUUAGCAGGGUCAUUUAGUUACAAAUGCUACAGUUUAACACUACUAGAUAAAGACCGAGUCAGUAUUGAUAAAGGAAUCAGUACACCUGGUCAAAGUCUAAAUGAACCCGGUGUGUGUGUUCACAUUGAUUCUGCUGUCAUUAUCCGCAUGUACUGUCCUGUCUCUUUGACUUUGUCCUAUUGUUAUAGUGGUCAAAAUGAUUACAAUUACACUGUAAUCUCGUUCUCUUACAAAGCUUCUUAUAAGUAUCUCCAGUAAGAGCAUCACGACACAAUGUGUGCCAUUGUCCAAGCUUGACUUACUUUCCAAAACCCUUUAGCUGACAAUCUGAGCAUAAAACACUUCUAUUUAAUUUUAUCUUCCAUAAUGUUCACAUCGUCUGCUCAUUGGGUCUUGGCUGUCUUAUUGUCCUUCUGCCUUACUGUCUAGAGACUAAGAGGAUUCAUAGUAGUAGUAGGAUAUCAACAAUCUGCUCUCUAAAAUGGUUAUCCUCCAAUCUUGUUUCUUCAUUAAAUCAGAUUUGGAGAAUUUUUAUAUAGCAUUACAUCCCUUGCUAACCAAUGGAUCCUCUGCAGUGAAUGAGUGCCGUCAGAUUGAGAGUUCAAACAGCUGAACAAAACAUUAUUAUAACCCACAAGUAAUUCAUACCACUCCAGUCCACCAGUUCAUGUCUUGUAAGCAAAAGCUGUGUGUUUUGUAAAAACAGAAAUCACCAGUAAUGUGUUUAGCUUCUGGCCAAAAUACUAGUCCAUAAUCCAUAAUAACGCUUCCUACAGAUUUUUGCAUUACAAGAUUUUAAUUGAUGGAUUACUUGUGGAUUAUUGUGAUGUUUUUACAAGCUGUUAGCACUCUCAUUCUGACGGCACCCAUUCACUGCAGAGAGGGUCUAUUGGUUACCAAGUGUCUAAUGCAAAAUUUCUCCAAAUCUGCUCCAGUGAAUAAAAAACCUAACAUUUUUGAUAUACUAAGGUUGAGCAAAUUUUCUGCAAAUGUUCCAAUAACAAAAAAAUAAAAAAUAAAAUCUGUUUUAAAUAAUGUGCUGUGAAGAAAUAAUAAAACAAUAAAACUAGGAAUGUUUCAUUUGGAUUUCAUGUUGACUUGGAUCGUGGUGCACUUAGCAAUAAAAAUCCUACAAAAAGAUCCAGAUUCCACCUGUACUGUGCCUUUGGUCUCCAACCUUCAAAUUUAUUCCGAGUGCCAGUCCACAGUUUCCCACCUGACUGACCACACUUCCACCCUGUGCCAGAUCCUGGUCAUGCAACCUGUCUCUCCACCUCAAAUCCUGAUCAUUCCAACUACUCACUGCAGCCCACCGGAUGCCCCGCGAUGCCACGGCCGCUACCCCACAGUCCCUGCAACCUCAAAUACACCACAUAUCUGGAUAAGCACACAUUAUAUAUUUAUAAUAAAACAUCCCCGUUAGGCUGUCAGAUACGGAUGCUCAUUUUUAUGUAGAUCAAAUCCCAUAGGAAAGAAUUAUAAAUGAGACAUCUUAAUAUAAAAUAAUAUCUUGUUUCUCCUAGGCAGCAAUGAGAUUUUUUUUUGUCCUGCAUGAGAAAAGGAGCCAAUUUAACUCUCAGGGAUCUCGGCAAUGUUUUCUCAACAAUGUGAGACUUGCCAAGACUCCAAGUGUGCAAUCAAAAGUCAAGAGAUCUCCAUAUGAACUCGUCAAAGACCAAAUGUUCAAUGUGAAGCUUUCCACACUAAAAAUAAAUGUGUCGAUAGAAUUUUCUUUUAAAAUCUGCUAGUAAAUUUCACAACCAAUUAUAAAGCAACAGCAAGUAACACACUCAAUUACUUCAAGAAACUUUAAAAUGCACAUUCAUUUUAUAGAUUUAACAAUAUUUAGGAGGAAAAAAUAUGAAAUAAUGUUGAUACUUAAAUGAAAGAUACCUGAAAUCGACAUGAAUCUCCUGGGCUAUGAUAGAGCCACUUCUGAAAAAAAAUAGUCACUGCAUGAUCUCUUCCGUGGUUUGAAAGGUAUAAAUCCUGUGAGCCAGGAAAGAUGAGGUGGUGUAUAUAAUAAAGAAACAAAUACUAUAUAAAAUAUAAAAAAAAAAUUGGGGUGAAAUGUUAUACUGUGCAAACAAAUGCAAGAAUGUUUGCAUGUUCAAAUUCAUUGCAUUUAUUCACUCCCUGAGACCCUAACAUAAGUAGCACAAUUUUUUUUUUUUUUUAUGUAGGACAUUUGCAGCAUGUUAAUAAAUUCAAAUGUUGUUUUCAGUCUCAUAAGAUUAAGAGUCAUCUAGAGCCAAUCUGCCAAAAAAAAAAAAGAGCCUUAGUGGUUCUCAUCUCCCAAACAAAACAUAAGGGUUAACAGAAGAACUUUGACCUUCAAUAGACUAUCCUCAGACUUCAUGGAAAUAUAAGCUACAUUUGUCAUAUCGAAAAAUUAAUUGUAAAUAUUGUGUAGUAAAUAAAAUGUAAACACAUUUCAUCAAUAUUAAAUCAGCAGAGAUGCAAAGAAAACCAAUUCCUUACCUCACUAAAUAGACAAUGAUAAUAAACCUCCGCUUGUUAUUUUGGGCUUCUAUUAUAAGACCCUCUGAAAUAUGCGCUGAAAAUAGUGACAGGAGGUUAAACUGGCACAAGUGACUCAUGGACGUCAAACUGAUCGGGUUGUUUUUAGAGGACAUCACGUUUUUGACGGCUUUAACCUCAUGUGACUGUGAGCUGAAAUAAUAGGAUAAAAAUAUUAGAUAAUAAUAAUAACAGAAAACAAUAAGAGCUCAUUUAAUAUUUGACCUUCUGCAAAUUGCCUAGUGCCUUACUGUGAAACUGAGUGCUGAAAAUGGAUUUCAGUUGCAAACGUUUAAUAAAACACUCCAAGAAGAUUAAUUGGCAUUGAAGCUUAUUAUGCCAAGAACCGCUCAAUUUCCUCUGAGCUCGGACACAAAUGAGACGCACAAAAGAAGCUGUUCUUAUUCACCUUGACAUAUUAAAUGUCUCUCUGACAAGGACUCAGUCAAAUGGCCAUGUCCUGGAGCUAUGAGAGUUUCAGCUUACUGUGCUGAGGUCCCCUGCUGAAUGAUAUAUAUAUAUAUAGAAAGGCAAUGUCAUAAA